AAAUAUAACAAUAUUAAAAUUUAAUGAUAUUAGACUAUCAAACGAAAUUCUUAAGUAAUGCUUUGAUGAAUUAGGUUAGUCAAAUACACAGAGAUGUUGAUAGUGUUCAAAUUAUGAAAUGACUUUAUUCAUAAAGAAUGCUGGUGGAGCAGGCAUGAUCUAAAAUGGGAUGUAGAGAUAUUUAACUUUUAUGGAAAGGAAUGAUCUGAAAAGUACAUUCUUAAAACAGUUUUCCUUAAAGGAAAAAUGAAAAAAUCUAGUUGACCCAUCUCUUUUUUUUCAGGUGGAAGAUGCUUACUGCUUUGGUUGCCCAGAAGAACUAUGGCUGUCACUGAUAAUCAUGACUGACAGAUCAGCAAGGAAAGCCUGCCAGACCUUCCCUCGUUCCUAGCCAAGACUCAACACCGAUUAAACUUCUCAAUUUGUAAUUUACUAAACUUUCUAAUCACAAGUUUUGGCCUUAAAGAAACAAGCAAGCAAACAAACAAAGCCAACACUAAAAACAAGCAACCAAACCCAAAACAGAAACAUAAAUAUUGAUUUCUUGACUAAUGCAUAGCCACUGAUUUUAAAAACUCUGUGUAUAUUCCAAAAGUCACUGAUACGUGUAAUCCAUUUGAUCCACACAAGGAUAAAACAAAGACAAAUUAAGAGAAUUAGGACUAAAUUCCCUUUUGAGUCUGGUAAAGCCAUUCCUGUCUCACUAAGGAAUUAUCUGCCUCUAGUUUCUCUCGAAAAAUCCAUAGAAGUAAUCUACCGAAGUUUUGUGCCGAAGUUUUCCAUCUCAUCUGAAGAAGCAAAGAAGACCUAGAGAACCUAGAGACCUAGAGCACAAUGUUCCAGGAUCAGAAAGGAAGAAGCAACUGGAGACGGCUAUAAAAGGAGAAGCAGAAGAGGCAAUCCCAGAACUCGCCAAAGAAAGAUGGUGGUGAACUAAGUGACACUUCUUUGGGCUCAUCAUCCAGGGUGGCCAAUGAGGAUUGGCAGCAUGGUUUGGCCGGCUAAGAUCAGACCUUCAGAUUGGCCUAUGUACUUAACAGGAUAGGAAAAGACCUCCUUGAUUCUACACCCCACUUUCUUAAGGGGUAAUUCAUCACCUAAUCAUCAGCUGGGAAACAGUGUGGUAAAGAGGGAAGGUGAUAGCCACAAAGACCUACGUUGGAUACUUGGCUUAUUUUUACAUGUUGUGUGACCUUGAGCAAGUUUAUUUUAACCUCUCUAAGCUGGUUUCUUUGUCUAUAAAAAAGAGAUUGUAAUAUUGAUCAUAGGGUUUUCAUAGAGAUUAAAUAAUGACACAGCUAAAGCAAAGCACACAUAGCACUAUAUUUUUCUAGUAGUAAGCAUCAAUAACCUGCUCUUAUUAGUGCUUUUCAAAGAAGGUAAGCCAAGUCCUAGACACUAAAAAAAUGCAACAGGGCUACAUUGACAAUCAAUAGUAUCUCCAAAGGAUCUCUACUUGAAAACUAUUUUCAAAUUAUUUUUAUUCCACAUUACAUUGCACGUAUUUCUUUUGCACUAAAACCUUCAAAGGUACAGCAAUGAUAAAGGAAAAAGAAAGAAACCACAAACUUGGUAACCAAAUCACAGGACUGGUUAAAAUGGUAACACUAUUAAUUAAUUUUGAAGGUAAAAAGAAAAAAUAUCCAUUCAACAGUACUUAACUGUUUCUUUGACAGUAUAUAAAUAAUCCAUAACUCUGGAUAUCCUUUCUCUGUUAUUAAUGCGUGACCUUGGGCAAAUCUGUUACUCUCUGGGUUGCAACUCUAAAAUAAGGGGACUGGUCCAGAGAGUUCUGAAAUGAUGUGUGUAUAAAUGAAAUUAAAAGUAGUGUCGAUGCAGCUGGUCUAUAGGCACUUUAAUAGUCAACUUACGUAUUAAA
Balaenoptera musculus (blue whale) is the source of this 1879-nucleotide long non-coding RNA. RefSeq lists it as uncharacterized. NCBI's taxonomy places the organism in Eukaryota, Metazoa, Chordata, Mammalia, Artiodactyla, Balaenopteridae. The transcript is spliced from 4 exons. The record is from RefSeq and is a predicted model, not a curated record.